UACGAAGGGGGCUAGCGUUGCUCGGAAUUACUGGGCGUAAAGCGCGCGUAGGCGGGUCGUUAAGUCGGGGGUGAAAUCCUGGAGCUCAAUUCCAGAACUGCCUUCGAUACUGGCGAUCUUGAGUCCGGGAGAGGUGAGUGGAACUCCGAGUGUAGAGGUGAAAUUCGUAGAUAUUCGGAAGAACACCAGUGGCGAAGGCGGCUCACUGGCCCGGUACUGACGCUGAGGUGCGAAAGCGUGGGGAGCAAACAGG
RNAcentral lists this ribosomal RNA (253 nucleotides) under uncultured bacterium. RNAcentral's name for it is "partial 16S ribosomal RNA". It matches the Rfam family "Bacterial small subunit ribosomal RNA", at positions 524 to 776 of the family's 1533-position model. The record is from RNAcentral.